AAGCUCGUAGUUGAAUUUCGGGAUCUAUGGGUUGGUCAUGCCCUCGGUAUGUACUGAUUUCAUUGGUUCUCACCUUCUAAGGAACCAUGAUGUCAUUUAUUUGGUGUUGUGGGAAAUUAGGACUGUUACCUUGAAAAAAUUAGAGUGUUUAAAGCAGGCUAACGCUUGAAUACAUUAGCAUGGAAUAAUGAAAUAGGACAUCCGAUUCUAUUUUGUUGGUUUCUAGGAUCGAUGUAAUGAUUAAUAGGGAUAGUUGGGGGCAUUAGUAUUCAAUUGUCAGAGGUGAAAUUCUUGGACUUAUUGAAGACUAACUACUGCGAAAGCAUUUGCCAAGGAUGUUUUCAUUAAUCAAGAACGAAAGUUAGGGGAUCGAUGACGAUCAGAUACCGUCGUAGUCUUAACCAUAAACUAUGCCGACUAGGGAUCGGAUGAUGUUAAUUUUUUAAUGACUCAUUCGGCGCCUUACGGGAAACCAAAGUGUUUGGGUUCCGGGGGGAGUAUGGUCGCAAGGCUGAAACUUAAAGGAAUUGACGGAAGGGCACCACCAGGGGUGGAGCCUGCGGCUUAAUUUGACUCAACACGGGGGAAA
This 589-nucleotide ribosomal RNA is filed under the name uncultured Glomus. RNAcentral's name for it is "SSU rRNA". It matches the Rfam family "Eukaryotic small subunit ribosomal RNA", at positions 624 to 1214 of the family's 1831-position model. Lineage: Eukaryota; Fungi; Glomeromycota; Glomeromycetes; Glomerales; Glomeraceae. The record is from RNAcentral.